CCCUUAGAUGUCCUGGGCCGCACGCGCGCUACACUGAAGGGAUCAGCGUGUUUUCCCUUCCCGAGAGGGACGGGUAACCCGCUGAACCCCCUUCGUGGUAGGGAUCGGAGCUUGCAAUUGUUCUCCGUGAACCAGGAAUUCCCAGUAAGCGCAAGUCAUAAGCUUGCGUUGAUUACGUCCCUGCCCUUUGUACACACCGCCCGUCGCUACUACCGAUUGAACGUUUUAGUGAGGUAUUUGGACUGGGCCUUGGGAGGUUUCGGCCUCCCUUGUUGCUCGGAAAGACUCCCAAACUUGAGCGUUUAGAGGAAGUAAAAGUCGUAACA
RNAcentral lists this ribosomal RNA (326 nucleotides) under uncultured eukaryote. Its description in RNAcentral is "partial 18S ribosomal RNA". It matches the Rfam family "Eukaryotic small subunit ribosomal RNA", at positions 1470 to 1796 of the family's 1831-position model. The record is from RNAcentral.